AUACGUAGGGGGCGAGCGUUGUCCGGAAUGAUUGGGCGUAAAGGGCGCGUAGGCGGCCCGGUAAGUCUGGAGUGAAAGUCCUGUUUUUAAGAUGGGAAUUGCUUUGGAUACUGUCGGGCUUGAGUGCAGGAGAGGUUAUCGGAAUUCCCGGUGGAGCGGUGAAAUGCGUAGAGAUCGGGAGGAACACCAGUGGCGAAGGCGGGUAACUGGACUGCAACUGACGCUGAGGCGCGAAAGUGUGGGGAGCAAACAGGAUUAGAUACCCUGGUAGUCCACACUGUAAACGAUGAAUGCUAGGUGUAAGAGGUAUCGACCCCUUUUGUGCCGGAGUCAACACAAUAAGCAUUCCGCCUGGGGAGUACGGCCGCAAGGUUGAAACUCAAAUGAAUUGACGGG
RNAcentral lists this ribosomal RNA (396 nucleotides) under uncultured bacterium. RNAcentral describes it as "partial 16S ribosomal RNA". It matches the Rfam family "Bacterial small subunit ribosomal RNA", at positions 523 to 917 of the family's 1533-position model. The record is from RNAcentral.